UCCCUGGCGGUCCAGUGGUUAGGACUCGGCACUUGCACUGCCGGGGGCCCCGGGUUUGAUCCCUGGUUGGGGAA
RNAcentral lists this transfer RNA (74 nucleotides) under Balaenoptera acutorostrata scammoni. Its description in RNAcentral is "tRNA-Ala (TGC) (tRNA-Ala-TGC-20-1)". The record is from RNAcentral. Lineage: Eukaryota; Metazoa; Chordata; Mammalia; Artiodactyla; Balaenopteridae.